GACGAACGCUGGCGGCGUGCUUAACACAUGCAAGUCGAACGAAGUGGCGAACGGGUGAGUAACGCGUAAUCAACCUGCCCUUCAGCGGGGGACAACAGUUGGAAACGACUGCUAAUACCGCAUACUGAAGGAGGGGAUUGCGUCUGAUUAGCUAGUUGGAGGGGUAACGGCCCACCAAGGCGAUGAUCAGUAGCAGGUCUGAGAGGAUGAACGGCCACAUUGGGACUGAGACACGGCCCAGACUCCUACGGGAGGCAGCAGUAGGGAAUCUUCCGCAAUGGACGAAAGUCUGACGGAGCAACGCCGCGUGAGUGAUGACGGCCUUCGUGUUGUAAAGCUCUGUUAAUCGGGACGCGGUACCGGAAUAGAAAGCCACGGCUAACUACGUGCCAGCAGCCGCGGUAAUUC
This 408-nucleotide ribosomal RNA is filed under the name uncultured bacterium. RNAcentral describes it as "partial 16S ribosomal RNA". It matches the Rfam family "Bacterial small subunit ribosomal RNA", at positions 28 to 526 of the family's 1533-position model. The record is from RNAcentral.